Molecule: ribosomal RNA, 401 nt
Filed under: uncultured Rikenellaceae bacterium
Lineage: Bacteria; Pseudomonadati; Bacteroidota; Bacteroidia; Bacteroidales; Rikenellaceae
Description: bacterial SSU rRNA
Rfam family: Bacterial small subunit ribosomal RNA
Source: RNAcentral
UAGAACGCAAUCGGAAUCAGGCCGAAAGGCCUGCGCCAGCGAUGGCCGGUUGCGAGGUGCUGCAUGGUUGUCGUCAGCUCGUGCCGUGAGGUGUCGGGUUAAGUCCCAUAACGAGCGCAACCCCUACUGCUAGUUGCCAGCGGGUUAGUGCCGGGGACUCUAGCGGAACUGCCAGCGUAAGCUGCGAGGAAGGUGGGGAUGACGUCAAAUCAGCGCGGCCCUUACGUCCAGGGCUACACACGUGUUACAAUGGCCAGUACAGAGGGCAGCCACCCCGCGAGGGGCGCUAAUCCUAAAAGCUGGUCCCAGUUCGGAUCGGAGUCUGCAACCCGACUCCGUGAAGCUGGAUUCGCUAGUAAUCGCGCAUCAGCCACGGCGCGGUGAAUACGUUCCCGGGCCUU